GCAAGUGUGGUGUAGUGGUUAAGAGCGGUAGACUCGUAAUCUGGUGAACCGGGUUCAAUUCCCCGCUCCUCCACAUGCA
This 79-nucleotide transfer RNA is filed under the name Podarcis lilfordi (Lilford's wall lizard). Its description in RNAcentral is "tRNA.Thr". Lineage: Eukaryota; Metazoa; Chordata; Lepidosauria; Squamata; Lacertidae. The record is from RNAcentral.